RNAcentral lists this long non-coding RNA (211 nucleotides) under Gossypium raimondii (Peruvian cotton). RNAcentral's name for it is "long non-coding RNA (GRAI_LNC000328)". The record is from RNAcentral. Lineage: Eukaryota; Viridiplantae; Streptophyta; Magnoliopsida; Malvales; Malvaceae.
AAAACCCAAUUAACCUAGCUCAACUAAUGUGGAAACAGAAAACCCUAACAGUAUCCAGCAUUGCAUUAGCCACAAGUGCUGCCUUCACCCACGCGCGUCGCCAUGCACCGCCACGCGUGCCUCCGUACAGCCACCUCCGUACCUCCACGUAGGUCCCCGUACGCCAUACCUGCAAGAAGGACACACAAACAAACAGGAAAACCAAGAGAAG